This 274-nucleotide ribosomal RNA is filed under the name uncultured bacterium. RNAcentral describes it as "partial 16S ribosomal RNA". It matches the Rfam family "Bacterial small subunit ribosomal RNA", at positions 523 to 796 of the family's 1533-position model. The record is from RNAcentral.
AUACGGAGGGUGCAAGCGUUACUCGGAAUCACUGGGCGUAAAGCCCGCGCAGGCGGCUAUUUAAGUUGGAUGUGAAAGCCUACGGCUCAACCGUAGAACUGCAUCCAAAACUAUUUAGCUAGAGUGUGGGAGAGGAAGAUGGAAUUAGUUGUGUAGGGGUAAAAUCCGUAGAGAUAACUAGGAAUACCAAAAGCGAAGGCAAUCUUCUGGAACACUACUGACGCUGAGGCGCGAAAGCGUGGGGAGCAAACAAGAUUAGAAACCCGAGUAGUCC